This 1122-nucleotide long non-coding RNA is filed under the name Apteryx haastii (Great spotted kiwi). Its description in RNAcentral is "lncRNA (ENSAHAG00000007477.1)". Lineage: Eukaryota; Metazoa; Chordata; Aves; Apterygiformes; Apterygidae. The record is from RNAcentral.
UCCAACCCCUGCUCAAAGGGGGCUAAUGUUAAAGUUCAGUUGGGUUGCUCAGUACCUUGUCUGGGUUUUGAAUAUCUUAAUGAUGGAGASUCCACAACCCUGUCCCAGGGUUUAAUUGAGCUGCUUGUGAUACGUAUACAUAUAUAUAUAUAUUUUUUUUCCUUCUAUCUAGUCUCAAUUUCCCUUGCUGCAGCCUGCGAGUGCUGCUUCCUGUCCUUUCACUGUGCACCUCCGCGGAGAGUCCAGGCUGGAAUUACUUUUCCUCCGGGAAAGCUUUAUUCGCCUUCUCCCUUACGCUACUCCCUGCGCUGCACCCAGCAGCGCAGGGACACGUCUCCUCCUCCUGCCCCCGCGGCCCCGCUGUCCYGGAGGGACACCCAGGGGCUGGAAGCGAGCAAAUCCGCGGGCAGGGCGCAAGACACCGUUGGGGAAAGGCUCCGGGGGCAGGAGCAGAGCGGCGGCAACCAGGGAAGGAGAGAGCCGGCACGCCGAGCGAGAGGCUGCGCGGGAAGGCAGCUCACGGAGCUCCUUAGGAUCCCGGCGGGAGCAGCCCCCUCGCUCCCCCCCGCGCUCUUCCCAGCCGCCUCUCGGCGCUUUUCCCCCCUCUUUCAGCGCCCGGCGCCUCACGUACCUCGUGCCCGGUGCCCGGCGUCCCUGCGCGGCGCGAGCCGCCCGCCGCCGCCCUCCGACCCGCCGCCGCCUGGUCCUCUGCCGAGGGGAGGCACCGAGCUCUGCCGUGGCUUUCACGCGAGGCGGCCUUCCUGGGAGAGCCCUUUCCCGGCGCCUCCGGGACGRGUUUCGGGACACGCGCCGCUCCCACUCCCGGCCGGCUCGGGCAGCCCGGCGGCAGCUGGGCCGUGCCUCCGCGCGUCAGGGGGCUGUUCGUCGUCAGCGGGAGGGCCGGCCGGCACGCGGCGCGGGCCAGAGGCUGCCUCGGCUCCCGCAUCUCCGCCAAAGCAUCCCGCGGAGCCGCGGGCCGAGCGCCGCCGGAGCGGGGGGACGUGGCCGACCCCUCUGCCGGCCGCGGGGCGGCUGCGUUUGGCUCGAGGUCCGCGCGCAAAGACCCGGCGCUUCUUACCCGCGCCUGCACCCGUGCCGUCGGCGAGCUUGGCCUGCCUGSAA